UGCCUUCUAGGAUGUUUGCAUGUUAACGAUGUCCCUGAGCCGAUAAGUUUUACCUAAGGGAAUUUAUCGCUUGCUAUUGCGCAAGCCCGACGCGUAUCGGGAAGCCUACGGCAAGAGUGCGAUUUCCGCCUUGAACACACGGUUGUUCAAGGGCUAAGUUGACAGCGGCAUUCUGGAAUGGCG
RNAcentral lists this non-coding RNA (183 nucleotides) under Thalassotalea agarivorans. RNAcentral describes it as "Thalassomonas agarivorans 6S / SsrS RNA". It matches the Rfam family "6S / SsrS RNA". From Rfam's summary of the family: E. coli 6S RNA was the first non coding RNA to be sequenced, but its function was unknown until recently. Lineage: Bacteria; Pseudomonadati; Pseudomonadota; Gammaproteobacteria; Alteromonadales; Colwelliaceae. The record is from Rfam by way of RNAcentral.